AAUUGGAUGACCAACCUGCUGUGGAUGUGUGUCCCCAUUUCGGCAUGCGUCGGCAUCCACGUCGAUUACAUGUGCGGAUCUUCCAGUCGCUGGACUGAGGUAGAUAAAUGCACAGCCCCACAAGUUCUCCUUGAGCAACAGACUUUUCCAGAACUGCUUUGCUGGGAACCAGGCUUGGUUUGAAAACAACAAAGACUCUGGGGACUUCCGAAGGAAGGGCUUUGGCAUUGUCUAAUGAUUUAGGCAGAGCUUUAUUUCACACUUCAUUUAGUUAGAUGAUUGGGACUGGAAAUGAAGAGUAGGGGAAACGUGCCAAUCUCUUUUAAAUGACUUACUGUGUGUGGUUUUUAUUGUCAUGUCCCCUUCUGGGUUCCAGUGCAAGUUCUGGCUGUUUUGUCAGACCAUCUCCUUAAUUUAUUAUAAUUAGUUGCUGCUGCUGCUGCUGCUGCUGUUAUUUUCCAGUUAGAAGAUGUGCCUUCACUACCAGGAUUGGCUAUAUAUGUAUUUUUUAACGAGUAAGCCAAUUGAACCUUGGUGGAUUAGAGAAGAGAGGCUUUCAUAAGAUCCUUAAAAGUACAAAAGAGAGGGGUAGCAAUGUACAGCCCUCUCCUCCGCUCAGAAGAGGUAAAACCCACAUAGGCACAUAGGGUGAAGGUCUAGUUUUACACUUUAUGAGAAAUCAAGUGAUGCACAUGUAUGUGUGUACCUGUCAGGAGGUGGAGUCAGGAGCAGGUCAGCAAUAUGUUACAGACUGUUUGGAUGCAGAUGAGUGGUGUGAGGCAUCAGCUGGGGAUGAAGGCUCAGAGCCAGGGGACUGAUGGUGGGACGAUGGUGAGUGGUCAGAGGGAGAAGAGGGAGGAGACUGGGAGGAGGAGGUGUCAGAAGCUGAAGAGGCAACUGGGUUUAGUGAGCAGGAAGACGCUUGGGCAGACAGCAGCCCUGUUUCAGAGGUAGGAGAGGAAGGGGGCCAGGAGGCCGAGAUGACAUAGGCUGCUGAAGAAUCCAGGGAGUCUCCUCCUGCUGCGACCAGCUCCCCUCCUGGCUGGUCUCCCAGAACAUGCAGAGAAGUGAAAAGAGCAGAGGAGAGAUUGGUUGUGAGCAGACACAGCCUCCGAUUGCUUGGGGGGGAACCUUGGAGAGGAGGGGACUUAGGUAGCUGUGGGAAGGUGAGGACCUUCAGUCCUCACAACUGCCUCAUUGGGGCAAGACCUACUGAGAAGAGUUGCCUGCACUGUUUUGGUUUCUUUGAAUAAAGAGCUAACUUAACAGGCACUGGGUGCUUUCUUGUUUUAUUGCGAGGAUAUGGGAACCACAUACCCACAGAGCUUCUGCUGAAAGUUGCUUGAGAAUUGUUCUGCCGCUGAACUGAGUGCACAGUUAGCUCAACGGUACAGCAUCUGCUUUGUGUGCAGAAGGUGCCAGGUCCUUUCCCUGCACUCCUGCCUGAAAAUCCUGGAGAGACACUGCCAGUCAGUGUGAACAAUACUGAACCACAUGGACCAAUGGUCUGACAUGGUACAAGGCAGCUUCCUUUGUGCUUUCUGGCUCUCAUCCUCCCAUGGCAGUCAAUCCACACACACCACAAUGGCAUCUUCUCCGAUUCCAUCGAGUCAAGAGUUUAAUAAUCUAGCAGAGAAGAGUAGGAUGCUCUUCAUCUAAUAAAAAAGGGAUAAUCACAAGCAGGAGUUGAAGAUUACACACUCCAUGAGCCUUGCUUGUUUAAUCGGCAGGUUUUGUAGUGUACAAUAAAGUUCGAUGCAGAGAGGCAUGUAGCUUUUACCAUUACUGCAUUCAGGCAGGUGACUAUGUAGUAAAAAAUUUAAAAAGCACACCUGCAAGGACAGCCUUGACGAGUAUAAGCAGAUUAGUAGCAAAGACCUUGGUUUGCCUCCUCUCCGCUUUAAAGGAGAUGUUGGAAAAUGGCAGUGCUCUGCCCUUGAAAGACCAAGAACCAAGUUCAUGCGAGGCAAUUUUAUGGUCAGAAACAAUGAAAGCUCUUCCAACUCUUCUUCCACCUUUUUUUUUUUUUUUUUUUUGCAGGAGAAUAAAUUCCUGGUCCAGAAGAUAUUAGUGAGCUUUGGCUGUGUUGAAGAAUUUGAGAUGGGAAGGGAAAAGAGAAAUGCUAAUGCUGAGAGGGUGGGUCUUCGUCCCAGAAUUAGGCCAGAUCUGUAUUUCCCCUUAUUUUUUUCCACGUAGUUCCAUGUUACAACCCCUUCCCCAUCCAGGACAGUCAGUUUGCCAGAUUUUGGAUAUGAGGCCUGCAGCUUGCAUGGGUGGGCAGGACCUGUCCAGAACCUUGAGAGGAUACUUCAAGGCUACAUUUUUUAAAAAAAUGACCAGUACAGAAUAGUUGCACCUAGAACUAAAGACCCCCCAAUUCUAGCCCCAGUGGUGGCUCCUCAUAGUGAUGGGAGUUUUUCCUGAAGUAACCAUGCAACCACAAUAUGUCCUCAUAUACAUUUAUAUAGCAAGAACAACCGCUUUCUAGGGUUAGGCUUAUUCUUCUUCCUCAUCAGCUCUAUAUGUUUUGCUGUAGUCUUUACCCAAGCAGGAUAUAUAUAUUUAUUUUUAAAAAUGUGAUUCUGGAGAUUCAAAAAUAAUCAGAUUCUGCUUUCUUAACCACCACAGGACACUCUCUUUAAUUACCUUCAGCGGAAAGCAAGCGAUGAGGUUCCUUAGCAACUGGAAAAGUCUCACCCUCCAUACUUGGAAAAAUGGCCAUCCAAGCUGUGACUAAAAUGCUCUGCUCCAUUGGAUAUAUGAGGUGUUUGUUGUGUGCACUGUUCUUUCAUGAGCAGAGCUGCCACAAUUUCUUGUAGGACAGGGAUGAAUUGUACGUUUAUCCAUUGAAAAUUCUAACACCUAUAUUCAUACAACUCUGUAAUGAAGUAGAUAUAUCUUUAUCUACUCCCACCACAAAUACGUUUAGGAAAUCUAGAAUGAAAAUCACUUGGGCUUUUCAAAACUUAUAAAAAGCAGAACAACGCCUCCCUAUUCUGGGCAAAGAAACGUUAGCAAAUUCACUUAGAUAAUGCAGAUGGUAUCCAGAGAGAAAAGUCCUGAUUGCACUUUAUUGUGGAACCAGAACAAAACAGUAUAUAACGUGAGGAGAAAUAAACAUUGUUUUUGUCUUUCUUAUUUCAGGCUUUGCACGUAGCAGGACAACAUUCAACCAAACAUACUGAGGAAAACCCCUCAGAACUACACAGCCAAUCAGAACUCAUGCUCCUUCAGCAAAGAUCCUACUGAAGUAAUCUCUUAAAUUACAAAGUGAAUGAUCCCUGCUGUUGCACUUCCAACAAGAAAUGCAUAAAAAAAUUCAGUAAUCAAUCUUAUCUUGUUUCCCUACUUUUGUUAGAAAGCCUUGAAAAGACAGCUUGGAAGCAAUAAACCUACAAACAA
Podarcis lilfordi (Lilford's wall lizard) is the source of this 3402-nucleotide non-coding RNA. The record is from the annotation of a GenBank genome assembly. NCBI's taxonomy places the organism in Eukaryota, Metazoa, Chordata, Lepidosauria, Squamata, Lacertidae.